ACGGGUGAGUAACGCGUGGGCAACCUGCCCUUCAGACGGGGACAACAUUCCGAAAGGAGUGCUAAUACCGGAUACGACCUUUAGACCGCAUGGUUUAAAGAAGAAAGGUGGCCUCUAUUUAUAAGCUACCGCUGAAGGAUGGGCCUGCGUCUGAUUAGCUAGUUGGUGGGGUAAAGGCCUACCAAGGCGACGAUCAGUAGCCGGUCUGAGAGGAUGAACGGCCACACUGGGACUGAGACACGGCCCAGACUCCUACGGGAGGCAGCAGUGGGGAAUCUUCCGCAAUGGGCGAAAGCCUGACGGAGCAACGCCGCGUGAGUGAAGAAGGUCUUCGGAUUGUAAAGCUCUGUUUAAAGGGACGAAUGGCUAGAUUGUGAAUAAUGAUUUGGCAUGACGGUACCUUUGGAGGAAGCCACGGCUAACUACGUGCCAGCAGCCGCGGUAAUACGUAGGUGGCAAGCGUUGUCCGGAAUCAUUGGGCGUAAAGCGCGCGUAGGCGGGUAAGUAAGUCUGUUGUGAAACUGCGGGGCUCAACCCCGUAUUGCAAUGGAAACUGCUUAUCUUGAGUGCAGGAGAGGAAAGGGGAAUUCCC
This 592-nucleotide ribosomal RNA is filed under the name uncultured bacterium. RNAcentral's name for it is "bacterial SSU rRNA". It matches the Rfam family "Bacterial small subunit ribosomal RNA", at positions 102 to 671 of the family's 1533-position model. The record is from RNAcentral.